CCGGUAUGAGUAGCGAAAGACGGGUGAGAAUCCCGUCCACCGAAUGCCUAAGGUUUCCUGAGGAAGGCUCGUCCGCUCAGGGUUAGUCAGGACCUAAGCCGAGGCCGACAGGCGUAGGCGAUGGACAACAGGUUGAUAUUCCUGUACCACCUCUUUAUCGUUUGAGCAAUGGAGGGACGCAGAAGGAUAGAAGAAGCGUGCGAUUGGUUGUGCACGUCCAAGCAGUUAGGCUGAUAAGUAGGCAAAUCCGCUUAUCGUGAAGGCUGAGCUGUGAUGGGGAAGCUCCUUAUGGAGCGAAGUCUUUGAUUCCCCGCUGCCAAGAAAAGCUUCUAGCGAGAUAAAAGGUGCCUGUACCGCAAACCGACACAGGUAGGCGAGGAGAGAAUCCUAAGGUGUGCGAGAGAACUCUGGUUAAGGAACUCGGCAAAAUGACCCCGUAACUUCGGGAGAAGGGGUGCUUUCUUAACGGAAAGCCGCAGUGAAUAGGCCCAAGCGACUGUUUAGCAAAAACACAGCUCUCUGCGAAGCCGUAAGGCGAAGUAUAGGGGGUGACACCUGCCCGGUGCUGGAAGGUUAAGGAGAGGGGUUAGCGUAAGCGAAGCUCUGAACUGAAGCCCCAGUAAACGGCGGCCGUAACUAUAACGGUCCUAAGGUAGCGAAAUUCCUUGUCGGGUAAGUUCCGACCCGCACGAAAGGUGUAACGAUUUGGGCACUGUCUCAACCAGAGACUCGGUGAAAUUAUAGUACCUGUGAAGAUGCAGGUUACCCGCGACAGGACGGAAAGACCCCGUGGAGCUUUACUGUAGCCUGAUAUUGAAUUUUGGUACAGUUUGUACAGGAUAGGCGGGAGCCAUUGAAACCGGAGCGCUAGCUUCGGUGGAGGCGCUGGUGGGAUACCGCCCUGACUGUAUUGAAA
Molecule: ribosomal RNA, 916 nt
Filed under: Bacillus cereus
Lineage: Bacteria; Bacillati; Bacillota; Bacilli; Caryophanales; Bacillaceae
Description: partial 23S ribosomal RNA
Rfam family: Bacterial large subunit ribosomal RNA
Source: RNAcentral